Colletes gigas is the source of this 3899-nucleotide RNA transcript. It is a transcript of the gene named nucleolar protein 6, with no coding region annotated. The record is from RefSeq and is a predicted model, not a curated record. NCBI's taxonomy places the organism in Eukaryota, Metazoa, Arthropoda, Insecta, Hymenoptera, Colletidae. The transcript has 13 exons.
CGUGAAACACGGUAUUUUGAUUACUCCUACUACAUACAUAUGUACGUGUUUUAAAUUAAAUUUUCAGAGGUAAAGGAAUAGUAUUUGAAAAAUUAAGAGAUAAAGAUGAAGGUACCUCAUUAUAAGGCAAAUAUAAACGAUUUAAUGAAUCCCUCUGACGACUCAGCACUUGAAAGUGAUGAUCAUGCUAAUGAUGAAAUUAAUGAAAGUGAAGAUCAAGAAGAUGAAGGCAAAGAACAGGGGAUGCAAGAAUCCAAUGCAGAAGACAAUUCCCAUUUAAUGUCUGUUAAAAAGAAAAGAAAAGUUAUCAAUGAUUCUACUACCAAUACUACUACGAAAAAGAAAAAAAAAUUACAGCCUGAUUUAUAUAAACAACCAACAGUUGAAGAAUUAAAUCAACUUAGGGAGACAGAAAAUUUGUUUCAUUCCAAUUUAUUCAGAUUGCAAAUAGAAGAGAUGCUAAAUGAAAUUAGAAUUAAAGAUAAAUAUAAAUCUCUAUUUGAUGUUUGGUUUAAAAAGUUACAGAUGACUGUGGAAUCAAUGGAUGAAACAAAGCAAUAUCGGCUUGCAGAUAACAAAUUUCAACAAGAAUUAGAAGCGCAUAUUCCAAUGCCUAAUAUAAGGAAAAGAACUAAAGGGGAAUUUGAAUUUCUUAAGCCAUCAAAUAUUGUUGUAGUAGGGUCUUAUGCAUUUGAUGCUACAGUUGGCCCAAACAUUACAGUAGAUGUAAUGAUUGAAAUGCCUGCUAAAAUGUUUCACAACCAUGACUAUCAAAAUUAUAGAUACAUAAAAAAGAAGGCAAUGUAUUUGGCAUAUCUGGCAUCUAAUAUGACUGUUGAUAUUGCACAGGACAAAAAGUUUGUUGGAAAUAAUUUAAGGCCAAUGUUAAAAAUUAUACCACCUGGAAAAUUAGGUAAAAAAGUUAAUGCAUUGGUGCACAUAGCAGCCCAAGAAGAAAGCUUUUCUCUAAAUAGAUUUUUACCAGAGAAGAACAGUGUUAGACCUGAAUGGUUUUUCAAAGACAAAAAACAUGAAAACUUAUCACCUACACCACAUUACAAUUCUAUAAUCCUUCAUGAUUUAACAAUGUCAAGAAUGAAUAUAGAAACUAUGAAAAUGAUAAAAGAAUAUCCAAACUUGAGGGAUGGUAUAAUUUUACUGAAGAUAUGGUUAGCUCAGCGUGAAUUGACAAAAGAUUUUACUAGUUUCAAUGGAUAUGUCAUAACAAUGUUCACUUUAUAUUUAUUAUCCAUUAAGAAGUUGAAUACAUUUAUGAGUAGUUAUCAAAUAGUUAGGAAUGUAUGGAUUAAUUUAGUGCAAGUUAGUUGGUGUGAAACAGGAAUAACAAUGAGUCAGGAUGAGAAUAGUGAACAAAUGAUUUUGAAUUAUAAAAAAUAUUAUGACUGUGUAUUUUUAGACCGUACUGGUUAUCAUAAUAUUGCAGCAUACAUUACUAGUACUACUUUCUCAUGGGUACAACAAGAAGCAAAACUUAGUUUGAGCCAUUUAGACACUGCACAUGCUAAUAGCUUUCAAUCACUUUUCAUGAGAAAAGUGCCAUUUUACAGAGCAUUUGAUCACCUUAUAUGUUUCAAGAAUACUCAACUAUUAAAGAAUAUAGUGGAUUCUAAGUCAACUAGCAUUGACAAAUUGGACUAUGGUCCUAAUUACCGAGACCAAGCAAUAAAAAUUCUUCAUAAUGUGCUAACAAAAGGAUUAAAAGACAGAGUACAUCAAAUUUGUGUUUUACCAAAGGAAUUUGCAGAGUGGGAUUGUACAGAAGAUAUACAGGAUGAUAUUGGAAACAUUUUUAUUGGACUGGAAUUAAAUCCAGAGUUUUGUUUUAAUAUUGUUGAGAAAGGGCCUGAGGCAAAUUUGCCAGAUGCAGUUGCAUUUAGAGAGUUCUGGGGCAAAAAAUCAGAAUUACGCCGAUUUCAAGAUGGAUCUAUACGGGAAGCAGUAGUUUGGUCAAAAGGCAAAACAAUAGCAUCAAAAAGAUUCAUAUGUAAGAACAUUGUAAGUUUCGUAUUACUGAACAAAUUAGGCCUUUCUAGCGAUCAGUUUACGUACAUUGCUAAUGAUAUGGAAAAAUUGUUAACAUUAUCAAAGAUGAAAGUAACGCAUUUUGCUUACGGCACGGGCGAAGAAGCUGCUCUAAAAGUGAUAAAUGUACUUGAUAGUCUCGAAAAAGAUCUGAUGUCUCUUACAGACCUUCCUUUAUCAAUACACGGUGUUCAAGGAUCUAGCGCAGUGUUUCGAUAUACAGAUGUUUUCCCACCACUCGCGACAGUUUAUCGACCCGAUGAUAAACUUAUCGAAGAAGGAGAAAUGUGUUUAAUGUUGUCAGAAAAUGUUGAUGUAGCUCCUAAGUAUGUUUGCCCACUUGAAGUGAGCUUGCAGUUAUCAACCAGUGGAAAGUGGCCAGAUGACUUAGAAGCAUUUAGAAAAACAAAAGCUGCUUUUCAUAUACAAAUUGCAGAAUGCCUUAGACAGCAGUACACGUUAAAAGCGAAUGCAAAUUUCUCGCAUGUCGAUGUAUAUAAGGAAGGACUUGUGUUUCGGUUAAUAGUAGCACACCAAAAAGAAAUUAGUUGUUUAAAGCAACAAGUGACUGAUGACGGGGUCGUACAAUACAGAGAUAAUGAAGAUUCAAUUGAAUUGGAGAAGAAAUUGUUCGAAUUACCAAAACUAACUGGUGCUUUACAUGGUUUGUAUUCUCAACAACCAUCCUUUGGAGCUGCUUGUUGCUUAACAAAACGUUGGUUAUCUGCCCAAUUAUUAGAUGAUUCUCAUAUACCAGAUAUAGUAGUUGAGUUAUUCGUGGCUUCAAUGUACUUAACACCAGCACCAUAUAGGCCACCCCAAAUGCCUCAAGUAGCAUUCUUGAGAAUAUUAGAAAUUUUUGCAAGAGGCCAUUGGAAUACAGAUCCUAUUAUUGUUAAUUUUAAUAACGAAAUGUCUAGUGAAGAAAUCGCGGCUGUAGAAACCCUUUUCGCAUCGUCUCGCGACUCUCUGCCGCCGUUAUUUAUAUCUACUCCCUACGAUCAGCAAAAAUCAUUAUGGACUAAAAAAGCACCAACAACUCUAAUUCUAAAUCGUAUUACUAUGUUGGCAAGACAAUCGUUAAAAUUGUUCGAAGAUCAACUUCUAACAAAAGAUGCAUUAGAUGUUAAGCCUUUAUUCAGGCCACCAUUCACGGAAUACGAUUGCCUAAUACAUUUAAUGCCACAUAUGGUUCCUAGAAAACUACAGGCAAUUGACGUUAGCAAAGAAUAUCAAGUCCUCAACUGGCAUCCUUACAAAUCACAUUCAGAACAGAAGAUACCAGUUGUAGGGUUUGAUCCUGUACAAUGUUUGUUGAAAGAAUUACGAGACGGUUACAGCGAAUUUGCUCUAUUCUUUCAUGAUACUUAUGGUGGCACAGUAAUAGGAGUGUUACUGAAACCCACUGCUUUAGAAGUUAAAGAUUUUAAGGUAUCAAAUAUCAAUUGUCGAAAAUGCAACAACGACGGUCAAUUGGUUUUAAAUAUUCCCGCAAUGAUCCAAGACUUUUAUGUGCUUGGAAAGGGUCUUAUAAAAGCAAUCGAUGUUCAAUCAACAAAAUUUUCUUUAAGCUGAUGCUUUCCUUAAACCAUUUUUCUAAACUCGAAGACUACAUUUUAUAUUACUGUAAAUAAAUUGCAAAAAUAUAAAAUACGGAAAAAUAUGGACUUUUCGAAAAGAUUCGAAACAUUCAAGAUACACUAGUAACUCCAGUAAUCGAAGGUGUAACUAGACAAGAUGUUUAUUUAUGAAUAAAUGGACAACAACAAAAACGGAUACAACGCAUUUAUUUAAAUAAACACGAUAUGGCUAUGAUAUUCAUCAAGAAUAAUUCAUGACAGCUAUCUAAGGGGCCC